CUAAUUUUACGGAAGUAUUCAUAUACAUUACACGUCCUUGAAUCACCUUAAUUAUUAUCCACAUAACGGCUACCAACAAUCACCAUUUCUCUGUUUAUUGUGCCUUCAAUUCACUCUCGUGGUUUGCCAUAGACAGUCCAAUGGUCGCUAUUAGGUCGUUGUCUUUGUUACUUUUACUCGCUUGGUAUCAAUUUUGGUCGCUCUGUGAUUCCCCUUCAGUUGGGUUCUCAUGUUACUUGGAAAAGACUCAGGCUUGACAGUUAACUGGGCUGCACUUUUGUCUUACACGUUACAGAUCCGUUACAGAUCAAUUUGCAUGCAAACAUAAUGAACAAAAGCGCUGUGUGAGAAUGGGACAUCAAUUCGAGGAAAAUACCCAGCGAUCCGGACGACGACCUCUUGGAAAGUUAUUAAAGAUUUCGUUGACUACCAAUUUGUUCACAAAUGUUUAAAAUCACAGUCAGAUCCGGUUUGGUUUGAAAGAUCACACCUGAUUAUGUUCCUUAUAACUUUAUGGUAAAUCAACAAGUAAAACUUACAUGUCAGAUAUAAGUGGAGAUCUCAUAAAAGAGUCACCCAAAAGUGAAGGAAAGAUUGACCAACUAAGCAAUUACUUUCAUGCAAAAUAUCAGUUGAUUUGGUUUACGCAAAUGAAAUGGAGUGAGGUGAUAAUACAGCAGAAGAAGAGGAAAAAUGAAUCAAUGUGCAGAUGCAACUAGCAUAACCAUGCUGUUAAAAUUUUGAAGGCAACAAUACAAACCAUGCUUGUUGGAUAAUCAUUCUGGAAACGAUACAAACUCUGGCCAUUGAAACAGGUUUCUUUUUUUCUUCUUUUCAUCUUACAUGUUUAAAAUAAACCAAACAAAGCAUCAUCAUCAUCAUAACCCGUCAAAUUCAAUCAGUGUUGAUCAAUGUUGAUUGAUAUUUGUUUUUCUCCUUCUCUCGGUCUGCUUGAUUCAAAUGUAACAUAAAACGCAUUAGCUGACAGUCAAAAAGGGGAAGUAUUAUUUCCAUCCUUUCACUUUCCAUGUAUUUGAACAACCUGUCAUAUAAGCCCAAUGAACUGACUUCAAGAGUUGAUCGUUAUUGUAAUUGUAAUGAACCUGUGUUAUUUAACCAGGAUUGUUAACAUGCAGAUGAAGGAAAAGGCGAAGAAAAAUCAGGAUAAAGUGUGAAAACCACUAGAAACAAAACUGAAAACAGUCGAUGGCACUUUAGAUAAUACUUCAUCAUUAAAUUAUCUGGACAUCUGAUUGUGAUCAGGUCAAUUCUGCCAAUUACCGAUGCUAAAUGUGUUAAAUGGUGCUGAUGAACAUGGAUAGCAAAUGAAUUGAAACAAGUGUUAAUAGUUUUUGCUGGUUCUGUGAAUUUCUUAAUGAUUUGGAAUGAAAAGCGAAAACCCCAAAUUCGACGACUGAUAUGAUUUCAAAUAUAACAUUGGGGCUAUAAAAAUGUCCAGAAAGGAAUCACCUGGGCUGUUGGGAUGAUUGCUGAUCUUACCUUAUCUAAUUGUGGCUCGCAAUUUGGCAAAGCAAUGUGAGAAAGUUGUUGCGAUAAGAAAAAAAAUUUCCAAACUUACAUGAUAACAAGCUGAGUCUCCAAGUUUUUUCAGUUAAAGACUCAAAAAGAAACGUAAAGAGGGAAGAAAGGAAAAGAUAAUUUGAACGGAGGAAACAGAAGGAGGUUCACGAAACGGAAAGAAAGCGAUCAGGAUGGUGAAGGAGGAAAAGCAGGGGAAAAUAAAGGAUCUUGAGGAUGAUGAUGGUAAUCAAAAGAGAUCUCGUUAACGUCGGCAAAUAGUCAAGAGUUAUUUUUCUUAAUGGUUUCAAAACAGUUAAGAAUUUUUAACCAACAUGAUGAUGAUGAUGGAGGUGAUGUUGAAAAUGGUUAAAAUGGAAAUAGUUAGGUGUUGAAAAAACUCAGCAUCAUCUGGAACUAGAUAAGACAGGUCAUCAUACAAUUGAUGCUGUUUUUAUUUCCUUUUUUUACCUUCAAUCCUUACCAUUUUUGACGAUCUCUUUAUUCAUCAUUUCACCAUCAUCUUGUUUUACCCUUUUUUUCAUCACAAUAGCUUGCACCUAUUAUCUAUUAGCUACUAUUUAAUAGCUUGGUAAAGCUAAAAAUUGAGAAUCUAGAAAAUUAUUAUGAAAAUUUAUCAGCGUUUUAAAAAAGGCCAUUUUCCUUUUAUGCAUUUUAUUGAAAAAAAGAUUUUGAUUGUUAACUUGUCCAUUUAAAAUUUGAAAUAGCUGGAGAUAUUGAUUGAGCAGAUUGAUCAAACAUGGGGCAAACAAUGCUUAUAUAAAAUCAAGAUUUCAUUUUACCUUCUACCAUUAAUUCAUGACUGGGAAAUUUAUUGUAAAUUCAAAUUGUAAAAAUCAAUGUCAUUCGCAAAUAGGUUGAUGUGUUUGAAAUGAUCUGAUUUCUAUGAGUAAAAUGAAUAAAUAGUCAUUAAUUUGA
Molecule: long non-coding RNA, 2457 nt
Organism: Tetranychus urticae (two-spotted spider mite)
Lineage: Eukaryota; Metazoa; Arthropoda; Arachnida; Trombidiformes; Tetranychidae
Source: RefSeq, a predicted model, not a curated record